Molecule: transfer RNA, 71 nt
Filed under: Trichechus manatus latirostris (Florida manatee)
Lineage: Eukaryota; Metazoa; Chordata; Mammalia; Sirenia; Trichechidae
Description: tRNA-Gln (CTG) (tRNA-Gln-CTG-5-1)
Rfam family: tRNA
About the family: Transfer RNA (tRNA) molecules are approximately 80 nucleotides in length.
Source: Rfam by way of RNAcentral
GCAGUGGUGGUUCAGUGGUAGAAUUCUCUCCUCUGAUGUGGGAGACCUGGGUUCAAUUCCCAGCCAAUGCA